Molecule: non-coding RNA, 22 nt
Filed under: Arabidopsis thaliana (thale cress)
Lineage: Eukaryota; Viridiplantae; Streptophyta; Magnoliopsida; Brassicales; Brassicaceae
Source: RNAcentral
UAAACCAAGGUGUGAUGAUAAA